This 78-nucleotide microRNA precursor is filed under the name Schistosoma curassoni. RNAcentral's name for it is "mir-3492 microRNA precursor family". It matches the Rfam family "mir-3492 microRNA precursor family". The record is from Rfam by way of RNAcentral. Lineage: Eukaryota; Metazoa; Platyhelminthes; Trematoda; Strigeidida; Schistosomatidae.
AGCUUUUCGAAUCCGUGCUGAGAUUUCGUCAGACAUCAAUCCAUUAGGGCUGAUCGAACUUCCAAGAUAAGUGAGACU